This 405-nucleotide long non-coding RNA is filed under the name Sorghum bicolor (sorghum). RNAcentral describes it as "long non-coding RNA (SBIC_LNC006336)". The record is from RNAcentral. Lineage: Eukaryota; Viridiplantae; Streptophyta; Magnoliopsida; Poales; Poaceae.
AGCUACUUCUGUCCUCAGAACUACACAACCACUUACAUCCACCAUAUUCACUAUGUGCUACUUCUGUUCCUAGAAGCACCACCCAUAUAAGUACACUACACUCUGUGUUGUUUCUAUCCUAGAGACACACACUUAUGCUGCUCCUACCCUCGGAGUACGCAUUCCUCUAUUCAUUCACCCAUACACAUUCCACAUCCAUGUAGAAAAUAUUCUACUCUUACACUAGGAGAAGAUACCCAAAAAUGUUAAUUGUCAUUAUGUCUUAUUCUACUUAUCAAAUAAAGCUCCAGUUAUUUCAGUUGAUACUCCCUACUGUUAUCAGUGCAUUAAAAGGGUUGGCUGAUCUCUAAAAAAUGAGAAAAAAAGAAAGAGGACAAAAGUCCCAAAAGAAAAGAAAGACAACCA